This 483-nucleotide ribosomal RNA is filed under the name uncultured bacterium. RNAcentral's name for it is "partial 16S ribosomal RNA". It matches the Rfam family "Bacterial small subunit ribosomal RNA", at positions 28 to 507 of the family's 1533-position model. The record is from RNAcentral.
GACGAACGCUGGCGGCGUGCUUAACACAUGCAAGUCGAACGCUGAAGCUCAGCUUUUGUUGGGUGGAUGAGUGGCGAACGGGUGAGUAACACGUGAGUAACCUGCCCCCUUCUUUGGGAUAACGCCCGGAAACGGGUGCUAAUACUGGAUAUUCACUGUUCUUCGCAUGGGGGUUGGUGGAAAGGGUUUUUCUGGUGGGGGAUGGGCUCGCGGCCUAUCAGCUUGUUGGUGGGGUGAUGGCCUACCAAGGCUUUGACGGGUAGCCGGCCUGAGAGGGUGAACGGUAAGAGUGGGACUGAGAUAAGGCCGAGAGUAAUACGGGAGGGAGAAGUGGGGAAUAUUGCACAAUGGGCGAAAGACUGAUGCAGCGACGCGGCGUGAGGGAUGGAGGCCUUAGGGUUGUGAAACUAUUUAGAUAAUGGUGAAGCCGCAACAAUGGUUGUGGUGAGGGUAGUGGGUAAAGAAGCGCCGGCUAACUACGUG